This 816-nucleotide ribosomal RNA is filed under the name Streptomyces sp. AUCAB23. Its description in RNAcentral is "bacterial SSU rRNA". It matches the Rfam family "Bacterial small subunit ribosomal RNA", at positions 1 to 836 of the family's 1533-position model. The record is from RNAcentral. Lineage: Bacteria; Bacillati; Actinomycetota; Actinomycetes; Kitasatosporales; Streptomycetaceae.
UAGAGUUUGAUCCUGGCUCAGGACGAACGCUGGCGGCGUGCUUAACACAUGCAAGUCGAACGAUGAAGCCGCUUCGGUGGUGGAUUAGUGGCGAACGGGUGAGUAACACGUGGGCAAUCUGCCCUGCACUCUGGGACAAGCCCUGGAAACGGGGUCUAAUACCGGAUAUGACACGGGAUCGCAUGGUCUCCGUGUGGAAAGCUCCGGCGGUGCAGGAUGAGCCCGCGGCCUAUCAGCUUGUUGGUGGGGUGAUGGCCUACCAAGGCGACGACGGGUAGCCGGCCUGAGAGGGCGACCGGCCACACUGGGACUGAGACACGGCCCAGACUCCUACGGGAGGCAGCAGUGGGGAAUAUUGCACAAUGGGCGCAAGCCUGAUGCAGCGACGCCGCGUGAGGGAUGACGGCCUUCGGGUUGUAAACCUCUUUCAGCAGGGAAGAAGCGAGAGUGACGGUACCUGCAGAAGAAGCACCGGCUAACUACGUGCCAGCAGCCGCGGUAAUACGUAGGGUGCGAGCUUUGUCCGGAAUUAUUGGGCGUAAAGAGCUCGUAGGCGGCUUGUCGCGUCGGAUGUGAAAGCCCGGGGCUUAACCCCGGGUCUGCAUUCGAUACGGGCAGGCUAGAGUUCGGCAGGGGAGAUUGGAAUUCCUGGUGUAGCGGUGAAAUGCGCAGAUAUCAGGAGGAACACCGGUGGCGAAGGCGGAUCUCUGGGCCGAUACUGACGCUGAGGAGCGAAAGCCGUGGGGAGCGAACAGGAUUAGAUACCCUGGUAGUCCACGCCGUAAACGUUGGGCACUAGGUGUGGGCCGUACUCCC